GAGUUUGAUCCUGGCUCAGGACGAACGCUGGCGGUGCGCCUUAUGCAUGCAAGUCGAGCGAAGCUUUUCAGUAGUUUACUACAGAAAAUGACUGAGCGGCGAACGGGUGAGUAACGCGUGAGCAAUCUACCUUAGUUACAGGGAUAGCCCGAGGAAACUCGGAUUAAUACCUGAUAUUCUUUAUUUCUCGCAUGAGAAUAAAAGGAAAGGUCAGCCGAACUAAGAUGAGCUCGCGUUCUAUCAGCUAGUUGGUGAGGUAAAAGCUCACCAAGGCUACGACGGAUAGCUGGUCUGAGAGGACGAUCAGCCACACUGGGACUGAGACACGGCCCAGACUCCUACGGGAGGCUGCAGCAGGGAAUAUUGCGCAAUGAGCGAAAGCUUGACGCAGCGACACCGCGUGUGGGAUGACGGAUCUAGGUUUGUAAACCACUUUCAGGAGGGAAGAAAAUGACGGUACCUCCACAAGAAGCCCCGGCCAACUACGUGCCAGCAGCCGCGGUAAUACGUAGGGGGCGAGCGUUGUCCGGAUUUAUUGGGCGUAAAGAG
RNAcentral lists this ribosomal RNA (549 nucleotides) under uncultured bacterium. Its description in RNAcentral is "bacterial SSU rRNA". It matches the Rfam family "Bacterial small subunit ribosomal RNA", at positions 9 to 567 of the family's 1533-position model. The record is from RNAcentral.